This is a long non-coding RNA of Oreochromis aureus, 2045 nucleotides long. RefSeq lists it as uncharacterized. The record is from RefSeq and is a predicted model, not a curated record. NCBI's taxonomy places the organism in Eukaryota, Metazoa, Chordata, Actinopteri, Cichliformes, Cichlidae. The transcript is spliced from 2 exons.
UUGUGUAGAUGGAACUGCCAUUCACUGGCUUUGAGCUGACCUUCAUCAUCGUUGCCUUCAUCAUCUUCUCUCUCUUCAGUUUGGCUUCAGUCUGCUUUCAGCCACAGGCAGCCCAGCCAGAAAAAGAUGUCUAUCAAGUGAAGAAACUGCAGCCAUGUAACAGGAAGCAGAGAGUGAUCAUCAAAGAAGCUGGACAGAAUGCAUAAAGCAAACAUUAUAAACCUCAGCUGAGUGAAGGCAAAACUGAAAACACCGCUUACUGUUCUGUUUGUUUUGGAUUAGUGUUGACGCAAUGCCCAUUACAGUAGGUUCCCACAAUAAAGAUAAGGUGGCAAUAAACUUGUACCCUAUUAAUUAUACAGCUUCAUGAGUUAUGAGUAUCGCUAUAAGGUAAUCAUUAAGAAGUAUAACACAAAUGGCUAGUAGCAUAACGUGAUCUCAGCGUAUUUGUUUAGGUAUCUGGAGAGGACGAUUAGCUAAACUUGUAGAGCAAAGAUCGUGUUUGUACAGUUUAUCACUGUAACACCACAUCUUUUCUUUCCUCUAUGAUAAUUUGCUCUUUAGCUCCAUCUACAGUUUUCAAAAAGCAUCAGCUGAAUUCUAAACUGAGGCCAUGGAAAGGAGGUAGAGUUAAAUGCCGGGAGCUGAAGAACCAGACAGAGCCGAACACUGAUGCGCAGAUCUCUGACAAGCCGUGAUGUCUGAGUUAGGAUUUAACAAACCAAGUGACUUUAGGCCCCUGUAGCCCUCGUGGGGUGACAUCCCAGGGGGUUAGAGGCUGCUCCCUGUGGAGAAUGCCCCUCGACCCUUGAGCCCUCCGUCACUCCUCUGUAGUCAGCUGUCGUCUAGCUUUGGUGUGUAAUGAUGAUCCUGUGUGUGUGUGUGUGUGUGUGUGUGUGUGUGUGUACUGGGUGUGUACUCCUGUUCAUGUGUAUAUGCAGCCAUUGAGGUUAGUAUUGGGCUGUUGAAGAGAUAAAGGGUCUUCAGAGCAAUUAAGCUCUGGCUGGAUGGCUACAGCCCUCAUUAACACUGACGAUAUUGUGGCAUGACAACAGACCCACUAUCACUCUAAUGAUGGUCAAUGAACUAACUCAACAGGCCACAAUCCACACCCGUGCACACAGACACAAGGGCAAAGACACACCCCUACAAAUUCAGACAUCACGGCACAUUUCAACUAUGACCACUCGUUUCAUCACCUACACUCUGCUCCUGAAUGAGAAACAGAGCUCUGGCCAUCACGUCAGCUCUUUGAUUCAGAAGACCUUAGACUAUAGAAACAUCUCACAUGCAAACGAGAGGGGUGAUCAUUUUUAAAAAGAAACAAACGUAAACUCUUCCAUUUAAAGCACAAGGAGGUCAUAAUUAUAUGCAGUCUUUGGACUAUUUGUGAAUCUUAUAAUGUCUUAUAAUGCCAAUAUUUGUUUUUAUUCUGUUUAUUUUGGUUUUCUUGGUAUUCAUUCCCUCUUCUGUGCCAGAGAAACAAAGAAAUAUUAACUGUAAAUAUCAGCUUAGCUGUUGAACCACGUUGUCUUUGAACAUUCACCCAUCACUAAAUUGACCGAAUCUUAUUUUCAGGCAAGCAGUAUUUCCAACAAGGCUUAUAACAACCUAUAUGCCUAUAUUAGCCUUCAUUAUUUUCUCAUCUAAUCCAUUCUGUAUCAUAUUACCCAGAAAUUUCCCAGAAAUUCAGAACUCAUUCACAUUGUCUUUCUUGAACAACCAGCAAUGUGUAAAAUGGAAAUCUGUUCAGCUUUCUAUCAUAACAUGUAGCCCAACUGCUAAAUAUUUACAUUUGAGAACCUAUGAUGAAAAAUAUUUAUAACUAAAUAUUUCCGUUAAACCGACUGGUUCUGGUAUCUUUGUUUUCAGCAAAAUAAAUCCUUGAUAAAUCAUAAUGCUGUGUUAUAUUGGUCAUGAAAUAUUUCAAUAUUACCAUUGAGCAGUCCCGCUGCUCAUGACGUUUUAAUAUAACUGUGUCUAAUGUAAAAGGCAGUUGUGUAUGAAUGGUACUGUGAAAUCUGGUAAUAAAGAUGGAAAGUUUA